UACAGCCAUAUCAUGUUGAAACACCAGUUCUCUUACAAUCACCAAAGUUAAGCAAUGUUGAGCCUGGUCAGUGCCUAGAUGGGUGACUAAUUGGGAAUAUCAGGUUCUGUAAG
Molecule: non-coding RNA, 113 nt
Organism: Acanthosepion pharaonis
Lineage: Eukaryota; Metazoa; Mollusca; Cephalopoda; Sepiida; Sepiidae
Source: the annotation of a GenBank genome assembly